UGCUCCUACGGGACGCAGCAGUGAGGAAUAUUGGUCAAUGGCCGGAAGGCUGGACCAGCCAAGUCGCGUGAGGGAAUAAGGCCGUAUGGGUCGUAAACCUCUUUUGUCAGGGAGCAAAGGCGUCCACGAGUGGACGAAAGGAGAGUACCUGAAGAAAAAGCAUCGGCUAACUCCGUGCCAGCAGCCGCGGUAAUACGGAGGAUGCGAGCGUUAUCCGGAUUUAUUGGGUUUAAAGGGUGCGUAGGCGGAGUGUCAAGUCAGCGGUAAAAUUUCGGGGCUCAACCCCGUCGUGCCGUUGAAACUGG
This 305-nucleotide ribosomal RNA is filed under the name uncultured bacterium. Its description in RNAcentral is "bacterial SSU rRNA". It matches the Rfam family "Bacterial small subunit ribosomal RNA", at positions 334 to 636 of the family's 1533-position model. The record is from RNAcentral.